Molecule: long non-coding RNA, 4530 nt
Organism: Ctenopharyngodon idella (grass carp)
Lineage: Eukaryota; Metazoa; Chordata; Actinopteri; Cypriniformes; Xenocyprididae
Exons: 2
Source: RefSeq, a predicted model, not a curated record
CAGUUGAGAGAGCUGAAGGGCCUUGCUCUCUACUGCUCAUGGGAUUCCAUGUUUAUAUGUUUAUAGGGCACGCAAACUAUUUUCGAGUUCCAGCUAACACUUGGCAGGAGUACACUUGGUUCAGGAGUACUUAGACUGCAAAGGCUAAAAGGGAAUUUCCGUUUAGGACAACAGAAUGUUGCUCGACCAACCUAAACAGGAAUAAGCUCUGGAGCAGGAAAUGAAAAAGACUGAAGGGGAAGAGUAGUCUCAGAUGAAAAGGAAUAUGACAAACAACGUCCCUCCUUUCACACCACAUACAAAAUAGCAGCCAAGGGUGAGAGGUGAUUUUACCUUUUCUCUCUCUUACGACUGUCUUUGUACACUAAUGUUAUUUUAUUAAUUAACUCUACAAAAUGAGACACAGAAGAGAAAGGGACAGCUGAAUGUCAGACACCUAUCUUUAUCUACCUCACAAACAAACAUCAAAUGCAGACUAGUACUAGUAAUGCAUAAUUUGUACAUGUUCUGAUUUGUACAUGAUCUUGGCAAAAUAAUGGUCAAUGGUCAAAUGAAAACAACUGUGAUGUAUCAAACCAAGGCACUAAGAAACAAAGCAAAGUCUCUGCCUCCUACACACUCCCUCUACAAACACUUCUCCAUGUAGUGAAUCCUUCAGCCGCUGCAAUCAUAAUCAAGACUUUCCCAGAAUGCCGAGUGGAAUAUAAGACGUGUGUGUUGAACCGUCAGGAGGGUCAGUCGUGUUAAUCAGUGGAGGACAGUGGGGGUGUUCGGCCUGCUGAUUAUGCAUCAUAAAUGACGCACAAGACCAACCAAGGACCACUUGAAUAUAACUUCAACAGGCACUUUAUACUCAGCAUUAACUUGACGAAUUAUAAUUAUAAUUUGUGAUGCUGAAACAGAGUCUGUCCUGAGCAAAAUGACACAACAUUUAAUGCUCUGUCUUCUCACAACAAGCAUCAGUGACCUUUGAUGACCAAUGAGGAGCGGAUUAUUGAUGUUUAUUGUGCGCCACCUUGUGGGUGAAACAGAAACGGUGAACAUUAAUAUGGUACUUGGCUGUCCUACUUAAAUCAGUAUAUUCCUCAGAAUAUAGGAACAAUACACUGAGAAAGUACAUCUCUACAAUUUUUGUGUUUGACAUUCAUUUUUCUGAUGUAAAUAAUAAUUUUUGUGAUUUGUAAAGCCUUUGAAAUGCAGAACGGUAAAACCAUUACAAGUAAAACGGGUAUAACAUGCACUACUUUUCAAAAAUGAGUUUGUUUUUUUUAAAGAAGUCUGCUCAUCAGGGCUGCAGUUAUUUGAUCAAAAAAUACAGUAAAAACUAUGAAAUAUUAUUACAAUAUAAAACAUCUGUUUUCUAUGUGAAUAUAUUGUAAAGCUGUAAUUUAUUCCUGUGAUCAAAGCUGAAUUUUCAGCAUCAUUACUCCAGUCUUCAGUGUCACAUGAUCCUUCAGAAAUCAUUCUAAUAUGAUGAUUUGCUGCUCAAGAAACAUUUCUGAUUAUUAUCAAUGUUGAAAACAGUUGUGCUGUGAAAUAUGUGGAAAGUGUUAAGAAUUUAUUUGAAAUAGAAUCUUUUGCAACAUUAUAAAUGUCUUUAUUGUAUUUAUAUAUGUAUGUAUGUGUAUAUAUAUAUAUAUAAAGUCUUAAGCAGGAUCAACAUCAAUUUUUUUUCUGAUAAAAUAAAAAUAAGUAGAUAAGAAGAAAUGAAGAACAAUGUAUUAAAACUUAUUUCAUCUUUAUUAGGUACUAUCAAGAAAUACAUUUACUUGUGAGAUCAAAGCACUGUGCAUCAAAUCAUACACAACAUUAGAACAGUUUCUUUUAAUUAAUUUUAAGAAAUAAAUAUUUCUUGAGAAUAAACAAAGUAUUAUUAUUUUGCAUAAUUUCAGCUGAGAAAAAUGAACCUUGAACCUUGUUGAAGACUUGCAACAAAAUACCAUUUGUAAAAGGAAUUACAUUCAUGCAAACUGAAGUCUUGUUUUCAAUGCUGUACUGUAUAUGCUCCAGAUAAUUCAGAGACAAACAUAUUAUAUGGAAACUACUCUCUUACUAUCAGUGUCUGACACAUAAGUGCAGGAUUAGUGAAACACUUUGAAAUGGUCUGUAUUUCUGCAUGAAUGGCUCAUAACAUUGAGAUCUGAUCCAUAUUAAUGAACAAAAUAUACCAUUUAAAGUGCCAAUUAAGUUUGAUCUGAGGUGAUGAGAUGCUUGAUUUAUGUCUUAUAAGGGUGUAUAUGAUUACAAAUAUUUGAGACAAUUUUUAUGAGCCAUUCCUACAGAAAUUGAAGUUAUUUUUUCCUAAAUACAUGCCAGCGCAUGCAUAAAAUAAAUACACAGACACACACAAACACACACACUGACACACACACACACACACACACACACACACACACACACACACACACACACACAAAGAGUCCUACCCACCAUCACAGAAAUCAAAGGGGCUUGGGGCAAAAAUGGCAACAAAAUUAAUAAAAAUGCUCCCCAAAAAUCAAGAUAUAUGUGGCAAAAAUAUCCCUGUAUGAAUUCUUGUUUUUAAUAUUUAUAUCAUAAACAAGAAGUUCAUGUUAGGUGACUUAAAACCGAACAACUGAAGGAAUCAUUUGACUGAAUGAUUGAAUGACUCACUCGUUACAGUUUUCACAAUCACUAGGACACAUUUCUCAAAUCUCUUCACAGUGAUCACAUUAUCAGUCUAUGUGAGCUAAACUGUGGAUCAUUUAUCACUGCUUUGGCACACAAUGCAUUCAAUGACUACAUCUUUUGAUUUACAUGAAUACAAUUCUCAAUUAGACACAACUACCAUAAAAACUCUGUGAACCUACAGGCCAAUUUCCACAUUUACAUACUCUUUUAUAAGACAGCAAUUUGCUACAUUUCUACAGUAAAUACAGCACAAAUACACUGUAUAUAUACAGUAUGUAUUCACAAUUGAUUAAUGUUAUUGAACUGAACUGAAUCAACACUGAACUGACGUGAGAUGAAUAAUGACACUAUUGACUUGUUAGAGCUGCUUUACAGCAGAAUUUGAACUUGUUACUCCUGUGAAGCUGCUUCGAAACAGUAUGUAUUGUAUAAAGCACUAUAGAAAUAAAGGUGACUUGACUUGUAUGCAUAAUCAGUGUUGGAGCCAUUAUAUUGAAUUGUAAUUUUUGUUUGUGACACUAGAGGGCAUGUGAGUAUAUUUAACCCAAGUGCUAAUGAGAUACAGGUGGCGCAAUGGAAGUUCAAACAAACUUUUUGACCGUGCCAUGUCGAGCAUGCAGCGUAUAGUGCAGGACUGUGCUCGUGCCCGUUAACAGUUUGUUUUGAAUGGUAUUUUUGUUUUUUGAGUAGAAAAUCGAAGUUAAGUUUGAAGUUUUAUUUUAAUUUUAUUUUUGUUAUUUGCAAUGCUAAAUGGACAAUAAAUGGAUUGGCAUAUCCGACUUUAUUCCAAAGGUAUGGACAAUAACUUCAUUUAUUCAAGGCAAAGCACGCGUCAGAAACAGACUUCUAAACCCCAUCUGCGUCCCUACAAUCAGUAUUUACAAAAUAAACAGAAAUGCAAGAGUGAAAAAUGUAUUUGUUUCUCAAAUCAUUGAGUUUUGAUUUCUAAGUGAUCAAAUUAGGUAUAUUUACACUAUAAACAGGAAUGCAGGAGGUUAAAAAAAUGAUCAAAACGAGUUUUGAUCAAUUUAUCAAUAAGUGUUUUCACAUGAUCACUGGGUGUAGGUAAUCGGGAAAUGAUUGUGGUAUUAAAUUUCUUAAAUGAAACACAAUAGCUGCUAUUUUUUUAGUUAUGUGUCUAAUGUAGAGAACUGUGUUAAAAGUUUGUUUUACAAUUGCAAACUAAGUGUAAAGCAGAUAAUGUGCUUGUAUUUUUGCAGACUUAGUCUCAAGAUUAGGUACAUAUGGCACGCACAGCAAGAUCCUCGAGCAAUGCCAAGAGUGCCAAGCAAUGCCAUCCUCAAAACAAGUUCAAACACAAUAAACACCUGAGAAAUGUGUCCUAGCGAUUGUAAAAAACUGUAAGAGAAUGAUUUGCUGCCACCUAGUUUUAGUUUCAGUACAUUUUUUCCAUGUUUAUUUUCUAUAUUUAUAUCUGGCGUCUGCGGCUGAUAAAAUCAUUCCUGCGGUCCAACAUGCUGCAAGAAAGACUGUCCACACUUGCUCAGAUGUCAACUGAACACGACGUUAUGAGAUCGCUGUAUAAAGAUAAACUUUUGCUUUUGCAGCACUUCAUUAUCAGAAAGACAAGCUCUAAAUGUCAAAAUCAGAUCAACCUAAGUGUAAAACAUUUCCUCUUGAUGUAGCCUAUUCUUAUUCAUAUUGUAUUAAAUCACUUAUCUAAUCCCUAUUAUUUAAUUUUUAUUUUUUUGCUCUCAUGGCCUUGGUCAUUAACGCUGAGGGGCUGAGGGAGUGAUGAAGAUUGAAUGUUGAUUUUGUUCCCGGUCGUGAUUUUAAUGUGUGGAUAGAAUGCAUUUUAAAUAGACUAUUAAGAGUAACAUAAGGAGUUAAUAUAAUAAACACAAUGGUAAAGGCCAC